UGGGAUCACGAUCAGUAGAAUGGUAGAAUGGUGACGUCACAAAAAUAAUUCUACAAUCGACAAUUUUGGUAUCACGUUAACACGCUUGGGAAAGUAGAAUCGGUGCUCGGCAAUGUUCGGAUAUUCUACUAGCCAUGUUAAAAAUAUCGCUUCUUCUUCUUAAAAAUAUUGCUUUUUGACGUGUGGUUGUCUUUAUUUUGUGGUGGUUGUAUUCAAAAAGCUAACCUAAAGAAAGAUUAUAAUUUGUGAUUAUUUUCAAUUUGUAUAUUUUUGUCUUGGGUUGUUUGGAACUAUUUUAUUAGAAAUCACUAAAUUUUUAAAUUUUACCUGUGACUAGAGAACAUUGUUAUAUUAAGGUAUUUUUAUGUGUGUGAUCCAGACUUAAAAAUUUUAAACAUCGAUGCUAGAUGGGGAGGUGCAACACAUGAUGUGGAGAAACUCAAAUGUAAAACUUUUUUGCAGCAGAUCGUUUAAAAUAGAGAUCAAAGCAUUUUCCAUUUCUAUUCUGGCAAAGAUUACUUUCACUUCUUAGUUAUCUUUGCUGGACGGUGAAGCUUUAUAUCUUAUUAUGAAGUAUUUUGAACAUAAAACUUUUGUUUUAUGGAUGCAUUGAUCAAAUAUCUUAAAGAAAUGUUUAUUUAAAGUUUCAUAAUAAUUUUUAUAAGUAGUUUAAUAUAAUUACUUAUUUUUGCACUAGAAAUAAUAAUUGUAAAGCUUCAUUGACUAAUGGCCAGUUUCACCAAAGAUGAAUAGUAGUUUAUUCGAUGAAUAAAAUUAUUCAACUGAUAAAACUGACACAACUAUGUUUCUCUAACGUCAAAUAGUACUUAUUUUAUUUAUUCAUCAAAUAAAUAUUUACUCUUCAAAUGAAUUGACGAGUUAAUCUCACUUUAAAUAUCUAUAUAAAGAAAAUUUGUCAAUUUAAUUUUAAAUUAUCAAACUAUUCACUGAUUUAUUUGUUGUUGGUGAAACUGGCCAUAGAGAGUAAAAUUGCAUUAUUUUUCAAUUUACAUAAAUUUGUGGUUUAUUUGUGAUUUAUUCUUUGUUCUUAUUUUAGUCUUGGUAUGAAACAAUGUUAAGACAAUACUGUGUGCUUUUUCAGUCCUAUGAAAGAAAAUGUUUUGGAUGUAAUAGAGAAGUACUACAACUUUGUUAUGAAGAUUUGUCUUUAUGUUAUUUUUAUAAUGUUCAUGGAUUAUAUUUGUUUUUAUGUUUUCUUCAGUUUAAAUAAAGUUUAUGUUUUACCCA
Long non-coding RNA from Diabrotica virgifera virgifera (western corn rootworm), 1248 nucleotides. RefSeq lists it as uncharacterized. The record is from RefSeq and is a predicted model, not a curated record. The transcript is spliced from 2 exons. Lineage: Eukaryota; Metazoa; Arthropoda; Insecta; Coleoptera; Chrysomelidae.